This 1032-nucleotide long non-coding RNA is filed under the name Salmo salar (Atlantic salmon). RNAcentral's name for it is "lncRNA (ENSSSAG00000109609.1)". Lineage: Eukaryota; Metazoa; Chordata; Actinopteri; Salmoniformes; Salmonidae. The record is from RNAcentral.
UGCCCUUGCACUGGUUACCAGUGUUUUUGUAGCACAACAAGUGCACGUGAUGAGUUCGCAAAUCAAAUGCCCACCUGUGGUGACACUGGACAGUUUAAAACGAGUUGGAAUCAACAUGUAGUACCUCCAGCAGGCAGAGAGUUAAGAACCAUUCGUCCGCCAGCUCAGAAACAAGCUACACUGAUAACAUCCCUGUGUAAUGUUCAAUGUAAUUGCAUUGCUGGACUUUUUUAAACUGAAUGUAUUUGUAUUGUUUUAAGAAUGUUAAAAUAAAAGGACGUGUUAGUUAUUAGUUAUAAUUCCCUGAGUGUUAAUACAUUUGUUUUUACAUCAUUAAGCCUUUAUGUGUAAUGAAUGACCAAAGGUGUCUGACUUUAUAGUAAGUACAGAGUCAUAUGAUAUAAGGCAUUUAUGUAUGUGUUAUAAAAUACCAAAGGGGUCUGACUUUAAAGUAAGUGCAGCGUCAUGUGAUGUAGAGUGUUUAUGGAUGUGUUAUGAAUUAUCAAAUGUGUCUCACUUCAAAUGAAGUGUUACAGGUCACUACAUGAAGUGUCAACGAAUAGGUUAUUGACGUUCUACUGAUUUAUGAAGGUCCUCUCAUCAUACACAGGUUACUGUAGGGUGGUAACGAGAUUAGUAACGUGUAACGUCAUGACUUUACUUUAGAGCGCGUGCCAUCCUUCAGCCCAACAUGUCACCCUUUAUAAAGCACAUGUUUAUAUCAUAUUCGGCAUAGUGGGUUAUGUCACAUUUGACAUUGGUGUUUAUGUCACACAGUUACGAACCCUUUAAAAAGCAUGACAUAUGGUUAUAGAUGCUUUGUAGCUCAUUUAUGUAGUGCUUUUGAAGGCUUUCUAACCUGAACGUAAUUUAAAGCGGGACCAAACAUUUGAUUUUGAAACACUUCAGGUGUUCACGUGAAAUUCAUGCGGUUUUCUGUAAGGGGUAUAUCAGCCUUCAUAUUGGUAUUUGAACCUCAUUACGAUCUUACGAACAGACUGCAGAGUUCUGUACUUGUUCGUUAUGUGCUCU